AGAGUUUGAUCAUGGCUCAGAACGAACGCUGGCGGCACGCUUAACACAUGCAAGUCGAACGGGAUUGGGGGGCUUGCUCCCCGAUUUAGUGGCGCACGGGUGAGUAACGCGUGGACAACCUGCCCUGGAAUCCGGAAUAACAUUUCGAAAGGGGUGCUAAUACCGGAUAAGCUCACGGCCCUGCGGGGUUGCGGGAAAAGGCGGCCUCUGACUCAAGCUGCCGUUUCAGGAUGGGUCCGCGUCCUAUCAGCUAGUUGGCAGGGUAAUGGCCUACCAAGGCGACGACGGGUAGCUGGUCUGAGAGGAUGGUCAGCCACACUGGAACUGAGACACGGUCCAGACUCCUACGGGAGGCAGCAGUGGGGAAUUUUGCGCAAUGGGCGAAAGCCUGACGCAGCGAUGCCGCGUGAGUGAUGAAGGCCUUCGGGUCGUAAAGCUCUGUCGCAGGGAAAGAAAUGUACGGGUGCCAAUACCACCUGUACUUGACGGUACCCUGAAAGGAAGCACCGGCUAACUCCGUGCCAGCAGCCGCGGUAAUACGGAGGGUGCGAGCGUUGUUCGGAAUUAUUGGGCGUAAAGGGCGUGCAGGCGGUUUGUUAAGUCUGAUGUGAAAGCCCCGGGCCUAACUCGGGAAGUGCAUUGGAUACUGGCAGACUUGAAUACGGGAGAGGAGAGUGGAAUUCCUGGUGUAGGGGUGAAAUCCGUAGAUAUCAGGAAGAACACCGGUGGCGAAGGCGGCUCUCUGGAACGAUAUUGACGCUGAGACGCGAAAGCGUGGGUAGCAAACAGGAUUAGAUACCCCCGUAGUCC
Molecule: ribosomal RNA, 810 nt
Filed under: uncultured bacterium
Lineage: Bacteria
Description: bacterial SSU rRNA
Rfam family: Bacterial small subunit ribosomal RNA
Source: RNAcentral